CACCUACGUGGAGUACCUGGGUCCCACCCGCAUCGCCACCGCCGCCACCAAGGCCAGGCCGCGGCCCUUGCCCCUGCCACCCGCCGGGACCCCCGCGCCCUGGGGACUCCCCGGGCAGGCAGAGCUCGCCGAGCACCCCGCUCUCCCCGAGCAGGCGCUGCCGACCGUGGCCAGGCUCAUCGAGGCUCUGGAAAAACAAGGUAGGGAGAAGCAGGGCCCCGAGCCGCCGGGCACAGCCGGGGGCACACACAGCCACCCUCUGCCCGCUUCAGAGCGCCCCAAGAGCAUGGCCGGAGCCAGAGCUGUCCCCAUGCCCCCGGUCCCCGCGGGCUGCCCCCGGCUCGGGAAGGAGGAGGUGGGCUCAGCACUAACCCCGCUCUCCCCUCUGUGUCCCAGGGCUCGACAGCGAGGUGCUCUACAGGCCGGGCCCCGGCGUGCUGGGGGAUGCCGAGCUGAAACAGGCCCUCCUGGCUGGUGAGUCCCGCAUCCCCGCCGUGCUCCCAGCAGGGAGGGGGCUGUGGAGGUGAUGCUGCCCUGGCAGGGAGGGGUUACGGCACCAACAUCAUCACAGCCCUAAUCCCAGCUCGCCUGCAUGCGGACCCCCCUCUUCUCCCCGUGUGAUGCAGCUGAAAGUGAUGCAGGUGCAGGGCAGGGGCGCUUCAGUAGAUAUUUUAUUUUUAUUUUUAUUUUUUUGGGGGGGGUAGGGU
Molecule: long non-coding RNA, 707 nt
Filed under: Cyanistes caeruleus (blue tit)
Lineage: Eukaryota; Metazoa; Chordata; Aves; Passeriformes; Paridae
Description: lncRNA (ENSCCEG00000013431.1)
Source: RNAcentral